Molecule: ribosomal RNA, 135 nt
Filed under: uncultured bacterium
Lineage: Bacteria
Description: partial 16S rRNA
Rfam family: Bacterial small subunit ribosomal RNA
Source: RNAcentral
UGGGGAAUAUUGGACAAUGGGCGAAAGCCUGAUCCAGCAAUGUCGCGUGAGUGAUGAAGGCCUUAGGGUUGUAAAGCUCUUUUACCCGGGAUGAUAAUGACAGUACCGGGAGAAUAAGCCCCGGCUAACUCCGUG